CCUACGGGAGGCAGCAGUGAGGAAUAUUGGUCAAUGGGCGCGAGCCUGAACCAGCCAAGUAGCGUGAAGGAUGACUGCCCUACGGGUUGUAAACUUCUUUUAUAGAGGAAUAAAGUGAGGCACGUGUGCCUUUUUGUAUGUACUUUAUGAAUAAGGAUCGGCUAACUCCGUGCCAGCAGCCGCGGUAAUACGGAGGAUCCGAGCGUUAUCCGGAUUUAUUGGGUUUAAAGGGAGCGUAGAUGGGUUGUUAAGUCAGUUGUGAAAGUUUGUGGCUCAACCGUAAAAUUGCAAUUGAUACUGGCAGCCUUGAGUACAGUUGAGGGAGGCGGAAUUCGUGGUGUAGCGGUGAAAUGCGUAGAUAUCACGAAGAACUCCGAUUGCGAAGGCAGCUUACUAAACUGCCACUGACAUUGAGGCUCGAAAGUGUGGGUAUCAAACAGGAUUAGAUACCCGAGUAGUC
This 460-nucleotide ribosomal RNA is filed under the name uncultured bacterium. RNAcentral's name for it is "partial 16S ribosomal RNA". It matches the Rfam family "Bacterial small subunit ribosomal RNA", at positions 338 to 795 of the family's 1533-position model. The record is from RNAcentral.